This 253-nucleotide ribosomal RNA is filed under the name uncultured bacterium. RNAcentral's name for it is "partial 16S ribosomal RNA". It matches the Rfam family "Bacterial small subunit ribosomal RNA", at positions 524 to 776 of the family's 1533-position model. The record is from RNAcentral.
UACGUAGGGUGCAAGCGUUGUCCGGAAUUAUUGGGCGUAAAGGGCGCGUAGGCGGCCUGCUAAGUCGAACGUGAAAUCCCUGGGCUCAACCCAGGAACUGCGUCCGAUGCUGGUUGGCUUGAAUCCGGGAGAGGGAUGUGGAAUUCCAGGUGUAGCGGUGAAAUGCGUAGAUAUCCGGAGGAACACCAGUGGCGAAAGCGGCCACCUGGACUGCACCUGACGCUGACACGCGAAAGCUAGGGGAGCGAACGGG